Molecule: long non-coding RNA, 5206 nt
Filed under: Sus scrofa (pig)
Lineage: Eukaryota; Metazoa; Chordata; Mammalia; Artiodactyla; Suidae
Description: lncRNA (ENSSSCG00040026727.1)
Source: RNAcentral
UUUUUUUUUUUUUUUCUUUUCUUGGUAUGAACUUUGUUGUAUUUGUUGAAGUUUGUAUGUUUUGUGGUUUCUAAUUCCCAUUGGUGCACUGUACAAUGGGGUGUGUAGUGUCAUGAAGAAAAAUAAUACACAGAUACUUUAUGAAGUGUGUUUUAUUUUUAAAUGACUGUAGUGUUGACAAUAUAUUGAUUUAUUAAGAUGUGAAGGGAAAAUUCUAAAUUUACCAAAAUGUGUAUAUUUUAAUAAAUGCAUAAAGCUUUAUUGUGUGCCUUUAAAUUUAAAAAUGGGUUUAUAAAGCAAGUCAGAAACAAAAGUGUCUUACCAUAAAAUAUCCAUAGUAAUGUAAAUUCUUACAUAGGAGAUGACCAAAAGGAAAAAAAAAAAAAAAAAAGGAGCUUUCCCAUAUUUUGUUAACCUCAGCCAGUACCUGAAGUCUGCUACUUUUUUCCAUUCUAAAAUGGAGAUAAAUAAGUGAAUCUUGCCUUAAAUGUUUCAAUUGUCCUUUGUAGAAAAGCCAGAAAAAUGAGCUCAUUUUUUGGAACAAAUUGCAUUAUUGUGGAAACUUCAUUUUCAAAAUAAAAAAUAUUUUAAAAAUUACAGCUAAUCGACUAUUAAAAUUUAAAUUUGAAGAAAGCCAGUGCCAUUAUCUUUUUAAAUUCACUUUACUUCCAUGAAGAAACUAAAACUUCCACUAUAGCAGACUCAGGAGAACAUGAAGUGAUUCUGUCUCCCUCUCACCACAUUCUUCUAACAAAGUACAGGCUUCUACCUAGGACCCUGCUCACCAUGCUGCCUUGUGAGCUACCCCAUUUCCAGUUCAAGCUCCUGGUCACAGCCAUACACCCCUCCACCCUUAGCACCACAGAAUAUAUGUCAUCGUCCCCAUUCAUUUUAUGGACAAAUUGCAGGAACAUAUCCUGCCUAUAAUCUUAAACCCAAUUAAUGACAUUAGCAUUCAUUUAUUUUACAUUUUGAUGGUACAGGUGGCACAGCAGGUUAAGGAUCUAGCAUUGCUGCAGCUAUGAGGUAGAUCAAAGCUGCGGCUUGGCUUCAAUCCCUAAUGCUGGAACUUCCAUAUGCCUCAGGUAACAGCUGGAAACAAAAAGGUAAUAAAUAGUCAAAGCUAAUUAUUUUACCUCGUGUAACUGUUACCUAUGCUUUUGAAGUUAUUAAAACUCUUAUAUCUGUAUGGGAAAAAUACUGUAUAAUGAUAUAUUAUUCACAUCUCUUCCCAACUCCGUGUUCAGUGAGUUCACAUUGGUAACUUGAAAUUGGCCAUGGGUGAAGUAUUUACAUCGUGCAAACUGGCAAAUGCUGCAAAAUCAGGUUUAUUUGUUUGUUUCCCAGAAAGCUGUCUAUUAAACAUUUAUAAGCACACCAUAGCUUAUAUCCUUUUCCGCUAAGUAUACCAUAACCCCUCUCACUCCUAUCACACCCCUGCCCACAGAGCAGGGAAAAGUCUGAACAGGUAUUUUUCCCUCUCCAUCUUUCCUCUAUUUUUCCUCCCCUUCCCACCAUCCAGCAGGACCAGCAGGGGCUUUCUACUCUUUGUUCAGUCUGACAAGUAUUCCCUAACAUAUUACCCUCCUUCCUGGAGGCAAUAAGCCUGGUAAUUUAGUUUUACUGGUGGGAGAGUUGUCUAUUUGUUGUUGUUGUUUUGGCUUUUGAGGCCGCACCCACGGCACAUGGAGGUUCCCAGAAAAGUUCAAAGACCUUUAAAAAAAAAAAAGAAAGAAAGAAAGAAAGAAAUUUAAGAAAUUCCCAUAUUCCAAACAUUAAAUUGACCACAAUUACACAUUUUAUUCCCUUCAGCAGUUCACUGACUGGCAGAGGGGGUCCUUUCUGCAUCAAGUUCCCUUCCUCUCCUUAACCCACAUGAACCUACCUGAGGACGGCUUUCUUCCAUUCUCAUAUUGGGCUCAAUCAUAUCAAGAAAAACCCUCAGCUGGAGUUCCCAUUGUGGCUCAGCUGUAACGAAUCUGACUAGUAGCCACGAGGCUUUGGUUCGACCCCUGGCCUUGCUUAGUGGGUUAAGAAUCUGCCAUUGCCAUGAGCUGUGGUGUGGGUCGCGGAUGCAGCUGGGAUCCUGUGUUGCUGAGGCUGUGCUGUAGGCCAGCAGCUACAGCUCCAAUUUGACCCCUAAUCUGGGAACUUCCAAAAGCCAUAUAUGUGGCCCUAAAAAAGAAAAAGAAAAACCUCAGCUAUGAGGCUCAGAGAGAAAAGUGCACAUACUCCUUUCUAUGAAUUUGAAUUCUCCAACCUUUUAUUACAUACAAGUGUAAGCCUGAUGCUUACCCAUCAGAGCCAUUUAGAGUGUUUUCAGGAAGGGAUGAGCCCUCUGGAAGUCAAUUAACUGGAUGAGUACUAUGGCAGGCUUUCCCUCAGAGAAGGGAAAUACAAAUGAUUUGUGACUCUAAUUAACUUCAAACACAGCAACAGGAAUAUAAUUUGGAACAGAAUGCAAAGAGGAAAUAGUCCAUCCAAAUUUAAUUCUAGUGACUGGAAGACUGUAAAUGAAUUUCCUUCCUAGCAGAAAAACUCCUCACAGGGCAGGUGGGGAGGGGGAAGAGGGGUUCCUAACAAUAGGGUUUCCCUGUUCUCUGAAGCUCUGUGUUCAAAGCAGCCUGUUUAGUGGACUGGAAAUAAGUUCAAGGUGUGCAUACAAUGUCCUCAACUUUCUCACCCAGUCUUGUCAAUCUUGUACUUAAAGAAGGUGGAGAUUAGGCUAACCAACCUUGGUGGAAGGGCGUGGGAAGAUGUGCUGUGAGCUUUGAGGACCGGCGGAGGAAGGGCACCUCUGCCCUAUCUGCUCCCUGAUGCCCAAAAUGCCUCCACUGGAAACAAAGUCUGGCAUUCCUCAGUAAGAAAGAGAUCUUUAAAUGCCUUCAUGGUUAACUCCCUUUGGAAGAAGAAACACAGUGUCUUAAUGCAUCCACAUUGAGAUAUGAGUGACUGAUAAUCAGUUCCUUCCCAGAAAGUAGGUUUUCACAAGUCAUGAGAAAAGAUUGUGAGGUCUCUGAAUGCCUGAGGGAGGGCUGGGGCUCCAGGAGGAGAAAUGGCUCAGAGGCAAGAGGCCGGGGCCCCAAAGACACACUUGGUCCCAUUCACUUCACAACCUUGCCAAAAGUUAGGUCUAAGUACAGAAGACAUCAUAAAUCAAUUCUGAACUGAUGCCCUCAAGAUCACUCUGAAGGGAGAAAUGGCUAGUGGCGUGCAAAGAGGCUUGCACUGCAAGAGAGAAACCUAUAUUCCAAUCCUGGCUCUCCACAGCCAGACAUGUAAAACUGGGCAAGCCACUUCCCCUGUUUUCUCAUCUGUAAACAAGUUGACCCAUGAUUUCUAACUUUCCAGAUCACUGCCAUGUCUCUCUUGCUUCCUGCCACACCUUGGCCCCUGUGCAAAACCUGGGAUGCAGGAGGCAUUCAACAAAUAUUUGUUGAAGGAAUGGAUUAACAGAAAGUAAGUAUUCUCCCUUCAUCCAGAGGCCCUCCCUAUGCUUUUGCCAAAGUGAAGGACAAUUUCAAUCACUCUAUUUAAGUAUUUGAUAGCUCACAUCUCUGACAGAUUUUAGAUCCUUUGAGCACUUUAAGAAGUUGAUCCUAAGAAAAUAAAAAAUCUUUGGUCAAAGAUUUAUGCCAAAGAGUAUCUCUAUAAUUACAGGAAAAAAUACCCAAAAAUAUGGAAUCAACCUAAUAUCCAAAACUGGAGGUUGUUUAAAUAAACUGUAGUGUAACUUUAUUUCUCAAUACUGCACAAUCAUAUAAAAAGUUCUUCAGGUAGGAGUUCCCAUUGUGGCGCAGCAGUUAACGAACCCAACUGGGAACCAUGAGGUUGAGGGUUUGAUCCCUGGCCUUGCUCAGUGGGUUAAGGAUCUGGCGUUGCCCUGCGCUGUGGUGUAGGUUGCAGAAGCGGCUCAGAUCCCGCGUUGCUGUGGAUCUAGCAUAGGCCGGCGGCUGCAGCUCUGAUUAGACCCCUAGCCUUGGGAACCUCCAUAUGCCAUGGGUGCAGCCCUAGAAAAGGCAGAAAGACAAAAAAAAAAAAAAAGUUCUUCAGGGAGUUCCUGUCGUGGCUCAGCAGAGACAAAUCCAUGAGGAUGCAGGUUCAACCCCUGGACUUGCUUAGUGGGUCGGGGAUCUAGCAUUGCCAUGAGCUGUGGUAUAUGUCCAAUUCGGCCCCUUGACUGGGAACUUCCAUAUGCUGUGGGUGGGCCCUAAAAAGCAAAAAAAAAAAAAAAAAAAAAAAAAAAAAAAAAAAAAAAAAGUCUUCAAAGAAUGUUUCAUGACACAAAAAUCUUAGUUAAUUAUGUUAAAUUUUAAAGAUGCAGAGAUUAUACGUAUAUUAGUUUUGAAAAUAUAUGCAUUUUUUAUAUGCACACAGAAAACUAUUCAGGAGGCUAUAUUAUUAACCACUGUUUCCUCUAAGAAGUCUGAUUUGGAGUGGUUUUACAUUUUCUUCUUCCAUACCCUUUCUGUUUAUUCUAAAUGUUCUUCAAAACAUAAUUUAUUUUAAAAAAUAAAAUGUAAUUAAUGUUCAUUUCCUAUGACAUAAGGACUUUUUCAAAUUUUUGCCACGUCCUAAAUGGCAAACUAACAAGGCACCUUGACACCUCCUUGCCCCAAGUAAUGACACAAAUAAUAGCCAUCCCCUCAAAGCCAUACAUACCAUAGACAGAUUUCUUUCCCUACAUUGUCACAUUAAAGGUAAGAUGCUUAUAUUCCUUCAGCAGAAGGAAUCCAUACUCAAGGGUGUUCAUAAGCUUGGAUACUUAGCUCACAUAUGCAUUGUUAAGUAUUAAAUACCCAGGGUUAAUUUGUUCCAGAUGUCAAGGAUAUCAAAAAGACAUCACACUGUUAAACGAUAAAUGCAGGUAUUUCCAUAUUUAGUUGCUAAUAUUCAGCUUAAUCCCUCUACAAAGUAAAAUAUAUACCAACAUAUCUUUCUGUUGCCUUGGGGAUACUCCCUGUCACAAAGAAUAUGGUCCUUAAUCACUUGUUUAAUUAGAUUGAACAGAAUUUCACCCACACCUGCAAAAAUGUAAUUAUUUUCCAAAUGUACAUGUUGCUCUUGACUUAUAAAUGAAAUACAUCCUGCAAUAAGGUCAUUCCUCUACUUAAAAUCUCCAGUGGCUCCCACUUACCAACAGAACGAAGCCCUUCACAGCCUGCAUCCCACCCACCUCCCCUAGAUGUCCUGUAUUCUGACCCCA